This 1349-nucleotide ribosomal RNA is filed under the name metagenome. RNAcentral's name for it is "bacterial LSU rRNA". It matches the Rfam family "Bacterial large subunit ribosomal RNA", at positions 1552 to 2925 of the family's 2925-position model. The record is from RNAcentral.
CACCCAAAGGUGUGACGCGUACCGAACUAAAGUAGGGAAAUGUGUGAGCCGGCUGCCGAGAAAAGCCGCUAUUGUUUGUACUGUACCCGUACCGUAAACCGACACAGGUGGAUGAGGAGAGAAUCCUAAGGCCGACGGAAGAAGCAUUGCUAAGGAACUCGGCAAAAUGACCCUGUAACUUCGGGAGAAAGGGUGCCUCGAAAGAGGCCGCAGAGAAUAGGCCCAAGCAACUGUUUAGCAAAAACACGGGUCUAUGCAAAACCGCAAGGUGAAGUAUAUGGGCUGACGCCUGCCCGGUGCUGGAAGGUUAAGGGGAGAUGUCAGGAGACGAAGCAUCGAACUUAAGCCCCAGUAAACGGCGGCCGUAACAAUAACGGUCCUAAGGUAGCGAAAUUCCUUGUCGGGUAAGUUCCGACCCGCACGAAAGGCGUAAUGAUUUGGGCGCUGUCUCGGCAAUGCAUCCGGUGAAAUUGAAGUGCCAGUGAAGAUGCUGGCUACCCGCGCCAGGACGGAAAGACCCCAUGGAGCUUUACUCCAGCUUGAUACUGGGAUUCGGUAUUGUAUGUACAGGAUAGGUGGGAGGCUGAGAAAUGGUGACGCCAGUCGCCAUGGAGCCGCUGUUGGGAUGCCACCCUUGCAGUACUGGAUUUCUAACCAGCAGCCGUGAUCCGGCUGGGGGACAAUGUCAGGUGGGGAGUUUGACUGGGGCGGUCGCCUCCGAAAGGGUAUCGGAGGCGCCCAAAGGUCCCCUCAGAAUGGUCGGAAACCAUUCGAAGAGUGCAAAGGCAGAAGGGAGCUUGACUGCGACACCGACGGGUGGGGCAGGUACGAAAGUAGGACUUAGUGAUCCGGUGGUAUUAAGUGGGAAUGCCAUCGCUCAACGGAUAAAAGCUACCCUGGGAUAACAGGCUUAUCACUCCCAAGAGUUCACAUCGACGGAGUGGUUUGGCACCUCGAUGUCGGCUCAUCGCAUCCUGGGGCUGUAGUAGGUCCCAAGGGUUGGGCUGUUCGCCCAUUAAAGCGGUACGCGAGCUGGGUUCAGAACGUCGUGAGACAGUUCGGUCCCUAUCCGGCGUGGGCGUAGGAUAUUUGAGAGGAGCUGACCUUAGUACGAGAGGACCGGGUUGGACUGACCUCUGGUGCACCGGUUGUCAUGCCAAUGGCACAGCCGGGUAGCCAAGUCGGGAAGGGAUAAACGCUGAAGGCAUCUAAGCGUGAAGCCCCCCUCAAGAUUAGAUAUCCCCCGCAUAAGCGGUAAGACCCCUUGAAGACGACGAGGUAGAUAGGGCAGAGGUGGAAGUGCAGUAAUGUAUGGAGCUGACUGCUACUAAUAGGUCGAAGGCUUAAUA